AACAAAACUCGGUUAUAUCAUUGGCCCCCGUGCACCUGUGCUCGAUAAUAUGCACGAGGAUAGGUGCAAAAAGUUCCCAGUUACAGUCCUCGGUAUAGCCUCUGUCGAUUAAAUACUGAGGAAGGCCUCCUGAGGGCUGACGUCAGAUGUGGUAAUGACGCCAGCCCUAGUAGAAAGGCGGUGUAAUUUUUAGACCGUGGGAUGUAGGACACGUGGCAUGAUCGAACGGUUCAGGAUGCGACCUUUGGGCUCCCACCCAUGUUUCCCUAUAUAAGCCUCCAUUCCUAUUCAUUUUUUACUUUUUUACUAUCAGUAAACCUUGUCGGAAUCGUCGGGAUAAGGUGAGUCCUCAAGUCUUUAAGUUAAUUGUUUUUAGAAAAGUCUAUAUUUAAGGUAGGAUGUCGAGUAGUGAUAGCGAUACGUCAUCCUCGAGUUCGGGGACACCAACCGAGGACUUGGGGCAGUCGAUAAUACCUAUGGCCGUCCCCAUAAGUGCAAAUCCUCGAGCCCAGGAUAUCCCGACCCCACUAGUGUACCCCGAC
Molecule: long non-coding RNA, 542 nt
Filed under: Olea europaea (common olive)
Lineage: Eukaryota; Viridiplantae; Streptophyta; Magnoliopsida; Lamiales; Oleaceae
Description: long non-coding RNA (OEUR_LNC006269)
Source: RNAcentral